UAAGUCUGUGUGGAAGUUGAGGCAUUGAUUGGUUAGGUCAUAUAAACCAUCCCUUUGAGGCAAGACUUAUACAUCAAUUUUAUGGCCACUGCACUGGGGCAUCAGAGUCGGAUGCUCAGGACAGUUCAUAAGGGUUUAGCCUGAUUGAAGUUGCUUGGUUUUUUAAUGGCUCACCACUUCUGAACUGGUCUGAUAAUUAUCUCCUUGUGGAGUGAACUUUUGCUGUCGCUCAUCUCAAGGAUUAUUUUUGGAAAGAACGUAGACAGUGGCAAUAUUUCUUAUUGGAGUUAAAAAGGGAUAGAGGGUCAAAGCUAGAGGAGUGAGUCAGGAUAGAGGAUUCUCUUAAUGUUCCAUUAUGGGGAUCAACACCCUUUGGUUAAUGAACAGAUGAAGGGGUGGUCAACAAGGUUCACAAUUUCUUUUGUUCCAACAGCCAUGCUUCCCAAAAACAUGGGCUACUAUUUAUGUCUUUAUAACUUGGAGGUUAUAAUAGCUUCUGAAAGACUAGUAACAAUAGUAUAUACUAUAUCCUACAUAAGGAAGCUCAGGCAGAAUAACUCACAAUGUUGUAAGCAUAUCACAAGCAUUGUUUGCAAGAAAUUCAUUAAAAGGAGCACCAGCCACAGCACUGGAGUUUUAUUAGAGGCUAAGAGUAAGGCAGCAAAGGCAUGGUCAAUACCAAAGACAUCACAACCAGAAGCGCAAUGAAGCAAGACAUAUAAAACUAACCUGGAGGGUAAGACAGUAACAUUUCCAUACUCAGUGAAGGUGCAAAGUAGGAUGAGGAGCAUUGAUAAAUAUACCGUAUCAGGUAAAAGGGAGUUGGCUGUGCAUAUGGGGUUGAACCAUUCUGCUUUUUGCACCAAGAUGAGUCCUUGCAUAGUUAAAGACUAUUUUAUGAUGAAUGUGUUUGUACAAAAACUUUUACUGUCAAAACAUACUUUUCAUGAUAGUAAUGUUCAUAUCCUUUACUGUACGAUAUUAGUAUUGGCAAACCUCAGUAAUAACAAUACAUUUUAGUUGAGACUGAUGGUCAAUGUGAGAAAUAUAUGUUGUUUUGUACAAGAAAAAAUAAAUCAAGCAGCUUUAUCCUUUCAAAGGCUGAGUAGUUUGUUUAUUGUACUAUACUCACUGAGACUAUUUCUUUGCAUAAACAUAUUUUCAGUGACUCCAGUGUUUAUUUUAAAAUUUUUGAGAAUUUUAUUUCCACAGCUGACACGAGGAGGGGAACCAGUCUCACCAUUAUGUAUACAGGGUAAUGGUAAACUACCUUACGAACGCAUUCUACUAGCAAGGAAACGGGGUUUAAAUGGCUGUUGCGGAAAUUUACAUGAUGGUAGAGUUAUUUGCAGUGUACCAAGUGGUCUGCAUUCUCACAAGCCACCUCUUACAGAGAUUUUAAAGGACUGCAUAACACCUCAGGCAAGAUGUAUGGAGAUAUUUGCAAGAUAUCUUACUCCUGGAUGGACAAGUUAUGGUCUUGAAGUUUUGAAACUCCAACAUUCAUUUUUGUUUUAGGAAUAAAGUCUUAGAACCCCCUGCCAAGAUAGUGUUAAUCUUUGACAAAUAAUACUGUUAUUUAGAUACUGGCUAGUAUUUCUGUUAAAACAGAAUCUUGCUAUUGAAUUGAAAUGUGAAUACAGUAAAAGCACAAGUUCAAGGGAUGAGUAUUUAUACAUAAUUUUGAGAAAUCACAUCUUUCCACUUCAGUUUGGUCAAUGACUAGUUUGUUACAUAAACUGCCUAGAAAAAGGCUUAGUAGCACAGGUAGUAUUAUCCCCACUGAAAAGUUGACUUAACCUUUUGAAAAUAUCUGAGAAAUUUAUAAGUUCCUGGAACCUUUAGUUUUAUGGUAUUUAAACUUUUAAAUAUGACAAAUAUUUUAAUCCUUUUUUCAUUUUUCAUACCUAGCAAACGCUCAGUCUUAACAUAGGAUAAUCUUCUUGUGCCAGCAGGAAACUGGUUAAAAACAAUCAAAGAUUGUAAAGCAAGGAUUCUGUGGCAUCUGUCAACUCAUGCGUAUGCAAGGUGAAGCUGGUCACCCACCAGCCAUAGAACCUCGUGACAUGCGAGUCUUUCUUUGACCGCCUUGGAGAGUAGUCGCUUAUGCUCUUCUCCCAAGCUGGUUCAGGACACUUUUAAACAUAAAGAUGGGGACAAAUGAAAGGCUUUUCACCUAAAAAACUUUAAUUCUCUUUCAUACACCUUAAUUUUCACGUCAUUAUACUAAGAAGUGGAAUGACAAAUAAUACUCACAAAAUAAUUCAACAUAGCAAUCUGACCAUGUAAGAGGUUAUUGAAUGUAACUACAUUUACUAGGAGACAAUGUACAAAAUACAUUUUUGAACUGGAACUCCUGAAGUAUUUAUCAAAAUCUUUGAAAACACACAAUCCACUGAGUUUGGGAAGUGAACAUUAGCAUUUUUCACACUGCCUUGUACAAUAUCACACAAAUUCAUACACUUGUUACUUACUUCAUGUUGCUAUCUACAGUACUGGUUCUUUGUAUGUAUUUUAGUACAAAUACAGGAAAAAUAGUGAGAAAUUCUGAAAUGCUUUCCAGUACAGGAAAAAUAGUGAGAAAUUCUGAAAUGCUUUCCAGUAAAUACAGUGGAAGGCUUAUAGGAUUAUUGUAAUUAAAUGUAGAAUUAAGUGUAUACAAAGUAACCAAGGUGUAUCCCGAGCUUUCAACAAAAAAACAUAUCGAGCAGCACAAGAAUUGAAAUUCUUAUAACUCUAUGUUCACAGAAAAACAAUGAAAUGAAAAUGGUUCCUUGAAAUGAGGUCAAAAUCUAAGGCUUGAAUUAAUCAUGAAAAUAUAUAAAUUUCAGCAUCAAGGUGAAAAGUCACACAGGUAAAUGUUUGAACACUGGAUAAGAUGACAAGAUAAUCAUUAAAACAUUUACACACCACAUUCGGUUUGACUUAAUAAAUUCACUGCAACUUUCAUUAUCCAUACUUCUCACAUGUUCAUGUAAAUACCAUUGUACGUUUGAGAAAACUUGCAUCUUUGUCUAUGAAAAUAUCUGCAGUGCAUCAAAAGAUUUUUACUUCAACUGUCUUUCCAUUAUGAAAAAAUACUCACAAUGAAGCUCUACAUGUAAGUGAAGUUAAACCUGUAAAGAAAAAAUACUUGUUAAUAUUUUAUUUUAAAAAUUAAAUGUUUGCAGAAAUAU
Long non-coding RNA from Macrobrachium nipponense, 3176 nucleotides. RefSeq lists it as uncharacterized. Lineage: Eukaryota; Metazoa; Arthropoda; Malacostraca; Decapoda; Palaemonidae. The transcript has 2 exons. The record is from RefSeq and is a predicted model, not a curated record.